GCCUGGGUGGCUCAGUUGGUUAAGCGUCCGACUUCAGCUCAGGUCACAAUCUCGUGGUCCGUGAGUUCGAGCCCCACUUUGGGCU
Non-coding RNA from Felis catus (domestic cat), 85 nucleotides. Lineage: Eukaryota; Metazoa; Chordata; Mammalia; Carnivora; Felidae. The record is from Rfam.